GACGAACGCUGGCGGCGUGCCUAAUACAUGCAAGUCGAACGCUGAAGGAGGAGCUUGCUUCUCUGGAUGAGUUGCGAACGGGUGAGUAACGCGUAGGUAACCUGCCUGGUAGCGGGGGAUAACUAUUGGAAACGAUAGCUAAUACCGCAUAAUAGUAGAUGUUGCAUGACAUUUGCUUAAAAGGUGCAAUUGCAUCACUACCAGAUGGACCUGCGUUGUAUUAGCUAGUUGGUGAGGUAACGGCUCACCAAGGCAACGAUACAUAGCCGACCUGAGAGGGUGAUCGGCCACACUGGGACUGAGACACGGCCCAGACUCCUACGGGAGGCAGCAGUAGGGAAUCUUCGGCAAUGGACGGAAGUCUGACCGAGCAACGCCGCGUGAGUGAAGAAGGUUGUCGGAUCGUAAAGCUCUGUUGUAAGAGAAGAACGAGUGUGAGAGUGGAAAGUUCACACUGUGACGGUAGCUUACCAGAAAGGGACGGCUAACUACGUG
Molecule: ribosomal RNA, 495 nt
Filed under: uncultured bacterium
Lineage: Bacteria
Description: partial 16S ribosomal RNA
Rfam family: Bacterial small subunit ribosomal RNA
Source: RNAcentral